CUUCGUGGAGAGUCUCAGCAACAGGGCAGGAAUUUGUUAAAUUACAUAAACAUUAUUGUGACCCAUAAAAUUCAAUGAAUCUCGGCCUGUUUACCCGCGGCUGACUUUAAUGUUUGCACAGUGUAAUUUAAUGUGUCAAUUUGCUCUCAAAUAAAAAACAUCUGGCCCUCUGACAUGCCAGAGAAACUGGAGAGCUGAUGUUCCAAAUCAGCUGAAAGCCUCAAUCAGAUGAUGUUCAGAAGGGAAAGGCAAAAGGCUCCGAAGGGGAAGCCCGGGUAGUUCAGACCAACUCCUGCCUAGUGACGGGCUUGAGUUGGGGUGCCGAACCACAUGGAGCGAGAUGGGGCGACUUGUUCUCUCCUGAGGCAGCAGUGCUCGGGCCAAGCCAGGCUGAAGGGAUCGGGAGGGACGGUUUCCACUCCCCGGCUUCUCAC
This 434-nucleotide long non-coding RNA is filed under the name Fukomys damarensis (Damara mole-rat). Its description in RNAcentral is "lncRNA (ENSFDAG00000033425.1)". The record is from RNAcentral. Lineage: Eukaryota; Metazoa; Chordata; Mammalia; Rodentia; Bathyergidae.